Molecule: long non-coding RNA, 101 nt
Organism: Thalassophryne amazonica
Lineage: Eukaryota; Metazoa; Chordata; Actinopteri; Batrachoidiformes; Batrachoididae
Exons: 4
Source: RefSeq, a predicted model, not a curated record
CCUGAGGCAGUUGCAAGGUACCGACAGGCCCGAAGGGUGGCAGUCUCUGUUGUGAGGGAGGCAAAGGAGCAAGUUUAGGAGGAGUUCAGAGCAACCAUGGA